UACGGGGGGGGCAAGCGUUGUUCGGAAUUACUGGGCGUAAAGCGCACGUAGGCGGCUUUGUAAGUCAGAGGUGAAAGCCCGGAGCUUAACUCCGGAAUUGCCUUUGAGACUGCAUCGCUCGAAUCCAGGAGAGGUGAGUGGAAUUCCGAGUGUAGAGGUGAAAUUCGUAGAUAUUCGGAAGAACACCAGUGGCGAAG
RNAcentral lists this ribosomal RNA (197 nucleotides) under uncultured prokaryote. Its description in RNAcentral is "partial 16S ribosomal RNA". It matches the Rfam family "Bacterial small subunit ribosomal RNA", at positions 524 to 720 of the family's 1533-position model. The record is from RNAcentral.